Molecule: ribosomal RNA, 275 nt
Filed under: uncultured prokaryote
Description: partial 16S ribosomal RNA
Rfam family: Bacterial small subunit ribosomal RNA
Source: RNAcentral
CACGUAGGAGGCAAACGUUAUCCGGAUUUACUGGGCGUAAAGCGCGUGUAGGUGGUUCUGUAAGUAGGGCGUGAAAGCUCCCGGCUCAACUGGGAGAGGCCGUUCUAAACUGCAGAGCUAGAGGAUGGUAGAGGGAGGUGGAAUUCCAGGUGUAGCGGUGGAAUGCGCAGAUAUCUGGAGGAACACCAGUGGCGAAGGCGGCCUCCUGGACCAUUCCUGACACUCAGACGCGAAAGCUAGGGUAGCAAACGGGAUUAGAUACCCUGGUAGUCCCU